GAUGAACGCUGGCGGCGUGCCUAAUACAUGCAAGUCGAACGAAACUUCUUUAUCACCGAGUGCUUGCACUCACCGAUAAAGGGUUGAGUGGCGAACGGGUGAGUAACACGUGGGCAACCUGCCCAAAAGAGGGGGAUAACACUUGGAAACAGGUGCUAAUACCGCAUAACCAUAGUUACCGCAUGGUAACUAUGUAAAAGGUGGCUAUACUACCGCUUUUGGAUGGGCCCGCGGCGCAUUAGCUAGUUGGUAGGGUAAAGGCUUACCAAGGCAAUGAUGCGUAGCCGAAUUGAGAGGUUGAUCGGCCACAUUGGGACUGAGACACGGCCCAACCUCCUACGGGAGGCAGCAGUAGGGAAUCUUCCACAAUGGGCGAAAGCCUGAUGGAGCAACGCCGCGUGGGUGAAGAAGGUCUUCGGAUCGUAAAACCCUGUUGUUAGAGAAGAAAGUGCGUGAGAGUAACUGUUCACGUUUCGACGGUAUCUAACCAGAAAGCCACGGCUAACUACGUG
This 512-nucleotide ribosomal RNA is filed under the name uncultured bacterium. RNAcentral describes it as "partial 16S ribosomal RNA". It matches the Rfam family "Bacterial small subunit ribosomal RNA", at positions 28 to 507 of the family's 1533-position model. The record is from RNAcentral.